GCGGAAGUACAUGGUAGCGCGUUUGUUUUGGGUACAAAAUGUCACAGGUUCAAAUCCUGUCAUCCCUA
Molecule: transfer RNA, 68 nt
Filed under: Nicotiana attenuata
Lineage: Eukaryota; Viridiplantae; Streptophyta; Magnoliopsida; Solanales; Solanaceae
Rfam family: tRNA
About the family: Transfer RNA (tRNA) molecules are approximately 80 nucleotides in length. Their secondary structure includes four short double-helical elements and three loops (D, anti-codon, and T loops).
Source: Rfam by way of RNAcentral